RNAcentral lists this transfer RNA (76 nucleotides) under Burkholderiales bacterium. RNAcentral describes it as "tRNA-Ile". It matches the Rfam family "tRNA". From Rfam's summary of the family: Transfer RNA (tRNA) molecules are approximately 80 nucleotides in length. Their secondary structure includes four short double-helical elements and three loops (D, anti-codon, and T loops). Lineage: Bacteria; Pseudomonadati; Pseudomonadota; Betaproteobacteria; Burkholderiales. RNAcentral also lists the same sequence under 5 other names. The record is from RNAcentral.
GGGCCUAUAGCUCAAUGGUUAGAGCAGCGGACUCAUAAUCCGUUGGUUGCAGGUUCGAGUCCUGCUGGGCCCACCA